Long non-coding RNA from Oncorhynchus kisutch (coho salmon), 1454 nucleotides. RefSeq lists it as uncharacterized. The transcript is spliced from 3 exons. The record is from RefSeq and is a predicted model, not a curated record. Lineage: Eukaryota; Metazoa; Chordata; Actinopteri; Salmoniformes; Salmonidae.
GUGGGUGAUUGUUCCUGUCUCUGUGUAGAAUCACCAGAUAGGCUGUAAUUAGGUUUCACGUUCCGUUUGUUGUUUUUUGUAUUCAUAAGUUAUUUCAUGUAUCGUCACUUUUUUCAUUAAAAUCAUGAGUAACCACUACGCUGCAUUUCGGUCCGACUCUCUUUCAACAAACGAAGAACGCCGUUACAAGAACGUGACAAAUAUUGACUAUUUUCUGUAUGUCCUCAAAGUUGUUGUCCACCCUGUUACAUUGUGGUUACUGGUACUUUAAGAAAAUAUAUAUUUUCUACAAUGACAUCACAAACAGAAAAUUAUGUAACUUUCUUGGCAGGAAAACAACUGUGGUGAACGUGGUCUUUCUGAAGGAAUGGCACCUCCUCUUAGCGCAGCUGAAAGACAGCGGCAAUACAGAGAACGACGUAAUGCUGACCCAGAAAGAAGGAGAGAAAUGGAGGAAAGAUAGAGAAGGGGAAGAAGAGGGCAAUAGCUGAACUCAGUGACAGAGUGCAGCGUUCAGAAAGGAAAGAAAUGGAGAGAUUCAAAAAGAAUACUCAGAGCCAGGGCCAAGACUAGUCCAUUGCUGCAGUCUACAGAGAUGCCUGCCUUAGAUGCCAUUAAAGGAAUGAUGAAGAUUCAUCAGGUUAUCAGUGUCUCACAAGGCCAGAUAAAAUACAGGGACAUUACUUGUCUGUGCAAGAAGGAUAGUGGCAUGUUGGACUGUCCUUGUUUUCAGCUCAAAGAGGCAACUCUGGGUGACCCUGCAGCAUCUAACCAACUCCCUGCAUCUCAUGACAAGGCUGACACCACAUGGCGACCUGGCACCAUUGAACUUAAUCACGUAGGGGAGUGGUGUGUUGUCAAUUACGACCAUGAAGGAUACCCUGUAGAGGAACAUAACAUUAAGGUGAAGUACAUGCACCGGAAUGGCAUCAACAAAUUAUUCUGGCCAAGUCCAAAGGAAGAUAUUUGUUGGUACUCUGAUGGACAGAUCAUUUGUCUGAUGCCAGAGCCACAGGCUGUUUAUAAAUGCUCUGUGCAGAUGGAAAAAUCCACCUGGAAGUAUGUGGAAGAGCAUUUGGGGUGAAAGGGGGAGGGAUGGAAAGAGGGGGAGAGGAAGAGAGGGACAGGAAUGUGUUUAAUUGCUAAUUCCAAUGAUUUUGUACCGGCAAUGUAUUUUUGUGUUGUUGUUUUUCACAGUGAAUAUGUAACUAAAUAGAAGGUCCAAUGUUGUUACUACAUGAAUUACUAUGUAGAUGUCUAUUCAGUGUUCAAUAUUCAGGGAUUAAUUUAUGUUCUGUCCCGUUAUAGCUGUCCACCCUGUUAUACCUUGGUCCACCCUGUUAUCAUGUCAUAUUUUUCAAAUUAAUUCAGCUACAUUGUCAAAUAUCAAUCAUUUGAAAUGUAUUUUAAAGACACCACACAAUUAUAAACUUGAAUAAAAUAUCAAUACCUGU